GUGUGUCUGCAGAAGGCUCGCCCCAGUAAACCCGCAUGCAGUCCUCCAGUGCAGAGUCGCUUUCCAGGAACCCAUCUAAGGUUCUAGUCACAGACAGAGCCCAGUCUCAACACUGAGUGAGACCCAAGGCAGGCCACUCCAAGAUCCCUCUCUGUGGCGGACACUGGGCUGGGCGCUGGCAAGACAGACCUAAAAGUGACAGAGGUGCUCGAGUCAAGAGGCCUCCCUGAGACUCUGUGCCCCCAGGGGGAAGGAGGCCCAACAGGUCCGGUGGCUUUUACUGUGGAGAGCAUCAGAGCCUGGAGAAAUUCACCUUUAGAGGGAAACAAACCAUCAUGAAAUGCACCCCCCUCCCCCCCACUCAGGGCCCCUC
This 373-nucleotide long non-coding RNA is filed under the name Sus scrofa (pig). Its description in RNAcentral is "lncRNA (ENSSSCG00040003846.1)". Lineage: Eukaryota; Metazoa; Chordata; Mammalia; Artiodactyla; Suidae. The record is from RNAcentral.